This 345-nucleotide ribosomal RNA is filed under the name Triticum aestivum (bread wheat). RNAcentral describes it as "partial small subunit ribosomal RNA". The record is from RNAcentral. Lineage: Eukaryota; Viridiplantae; Streptophyta; Magnoliopsida; Poales; Poaceae.
AUGAUAUAUCCACCUAGCGGUGAUACUGAUAUAUAUGAUCAACCUUUUUUCGAUCUAAUGUGUUUGCUUCCGUUGUGCCUAAUCAGUUACCUGUUGACAUUCUUGAUAAAUACACAGUUGAAGAAAGAUAUGACUUCAGUUUUGUGUGACAAAUUCAGCUGUUUGUCUUUAAAAAAGACAACCCGUCAGAUGUACAAGAUAAACAUGAUGUUUUUCCUACCGUACCUGUUUUCCCUCGGCAAACAUGAUGUUUUUGUAGCUGAGUUCCUUUUUACAAACUGUGAAUUAUGCUGCCCAUUUUGGUUAUAUCCUUGUUGCUGCUUAUGCACUGGGUUUGCUUCGUAG